This 1403-nucleotide ribosomal RNA is filed under the name uncultured bacterium. RNAcentral describes it as "bacterial SSU rRNA". It matches the Rfam family "Bacterial small subunit ribosomal RNA". The record is from RNAcentral.
AGAGUUUGAUCCUGGCUCAGGAUGAACGCUAGCGACAGGCUUAACACAUGCAAGUCGAGGGGCAGCGGGGGCGUAGCAAUAUGCCUGCCGGCGACCGGCGCACGGGUGAGUAACACGUAUGUAACCUGCCCUAUGCAGGGGGAUAACCCGGAGAAAUCCGGCCUAAUACCGCGUAACACCUUAGGGGAGCAUUCUCUUGAGGUUAAAGGAGAGAUCCGGCAUAGGAUGGACAUGCGUCGCAUUAGGUAGACGGCGGGGCAACGGCCCACCGUGCCGACGAUGCGUAGGGGUUCUGAGAGGAAGGCCCCCCACACUGGUACUGAGACACGGACCAGACUCCUACGGGAGGCAGCAGUGAGGAAUAUUGGUCAAUGGCCGAGAGGCUGAACCAGCCAAGUCGCGUGAGGGAAGAAUGUCCUAAGGAUUGUAAACCUCUUUUGUCGGGGAGCAAAAAGGCUCUGCGGAGUCGUAUUGAGAGUACCCGAAGAAAAAGCAUCGGCUAACUCCGUGCCAGCAGCCGCGGUAAUACGGAGGAUGCGAGCGUUAUCCGGAUUUAUUGGGUUUAAAGGGUGCGCAGGCGGCGUGUCAAGCAAGCGGUAAAAUAGCGGGGCUCAACCCCGUCGAGCCGUUUGAACUGGCGCGCUUGAGUUCAGGCGAGGUAGGCGGAAUUCGUGGUGUAGCGGUGAAAUGCAUAGAUGUCACGAAGAACUCCGAUUGCGAAGGCAGCUUACCAGUCUGCGACUGACGCUCAGGCACGAAAGUGUGGGUAUCGAACAGGAUUAGAUACCCUGGUAGUCCACACAGUAAACGAUGAGCGCUAGGUGUCCGGGUCGCAUGAGACUUGGGUGCCCGAGCGAAAGCGUUAAGCGCUCCACCUGGGGAGUACGCCGGCAACGGCGAAACUCAAAGGAAUUGACGGGGGCCCGCACAAGCGGAGGAACAUGUGGUUUAAUUCGAUGAUACGCGAGGAACCUUACCCGGGCUCAAACGACUCAGGAAUAUAUUGGAAACGAUGUAGCCAGCAAUGGUUUGAGUCGAGGUGCUGCAUGGUUGUCGUCAGCUCGUGCCGUGAGGUGUCGGCUUAAGUGCCAUAACGAGCGCAACCCCUACCGCCAGUUGCCAACGGGUAAAGCCGGGAACUCUGGCGGGACUGCCGGCGCAAGCUGCGAGGAAGGCGGGGAUGACGUCAAAUCAGCACGGCCCUUACGUCCGGGGCGACACACGUGUUACAAUGGCAGGUACAGCGGGAAGCCACCUGGUGACAGGGAGCGGAACCCGAAAGCCUGUCUCAGUUCGGAUUGGAGUCUGCAACUCGACUCCAUGAAGCUGGAUUCGCUAGUAAUCGCGCAUCAGCCAUGGCGCGGUGAAUACGUUCCCGGGCCUUGCACACACCGCCCGUCAAG